Molecule: ribosomal RNA, 343 nt
Filed under: Cryptocellus peckorum
Lineage: Eukaryota; Metazoa; Arthropoda; Arachnida; Ricinulei; Ricinoididae
Description: partial small subunit ribosomal RNA
Source: RNAcentral
UUUUAAUGUUGAGUAUGUUCUGGUAGUAAGAGAUGCUCUUGAAACUUAAAGGUUUUGGCGGUUUUCUUGUUCUUUUCAGAGGAACUUGUUCUUUAAUCGAUACUCCUCGUGCAAUUUUACUUAAUUUGUGAUGGUUUGUAUAUCGCUGUUGAUGAUAUCUUUGUUGUAUGAUAUUGCUUGGUUUGGUUCCAGUUAAAUCAAGUCAAGGUGCAGCUUAAUUAAGGUUGAAAUGAGUUACUGUAGGUUAUUAUGGAGGAUAAGGUGAGAUUGUAUCUUGAGAUUGGAUUUGAAAGUAAUUUUGGAAAGUAAGUAAGUUUUGGUGAAAUAAAGUUUAAGGAAAUGU